AACGGCUAUACCAUGCUGAAUAUACCGUUCUCGUUAGAUACCGAAGUCAAGCAUCAUUGGGCGCGGUCAGUACUUGGGUGUGGGUGACCACCUGGGAACACCGUGUGCCGUU
RNAcentral lists this ribosomal RNA (112 nucleotides) under Caerostris extrusa. Lineage: Eukaryota; Metazoa; Arthropoda; Arachnida; Araneae; Araneidae. The record is from RNAcentral.